AGGAUGAACGCUGGCGGAGUGCCUAACACAUGCAAGUCGAGCGGCAGCGCGAAGAAUUUAUUCUUUGGCGGCGAGCGGCGGACGGCUGAGUAACGCGUGGGAACAUACCCCAAAGUGAGGGAUAAGCAUCGGAAACGGUGUCUAAUACCGCAUAUGAUCUUCGGAUUUAAAGGAUUUAUCCGCUUUGGGAAUGGCCUGCGUACGAUUAGAUAGUUGGUGAGGUAAAGCUCACCAAGUCUACGAUCGUUAACU
RNAcentral lists this ribosomal RNA (252 nucleotides) under uncultured soil bacterium. RNAcentral's name for it is "partial 16S ribosomal RNA". It matches the Rfam family "Bacterial small subunit ribosomal RNA", at positions 26 to 288 of the family's 1533-position model. The record is from RNAcentral.